UCCUGUUUUAUAAAAUCAUGAAGAUUAACUGGUGGUUGUUUAUGUAACGAAGGCUUACCUACUAGGUAUUUUUUAAUAGAAAUGAUUCUAUAAACAAUGGAAGGUUUGAAUCUAUAAACAAUGGAAGGUUUGACUCUAUAAACAAUGGAAGGUUUGACUAUAUAAACAAUGGAAGGUUUGACUAUAUAAACAAUGGAAGGUUUGACUCUAUAAACAAUGGAAGGUUUGACUCUAUAAACAAUGGAAGGUUUGACUCUAUAAACAAUGGAAGGUUUGACUCUAUAAACAAUGGAAGGUUUGACUAUAUAAACAAUGGAAGGUUUGACUCUAUAAACAAUGGAAGGUUUGACUCUAUAAACAAUGGAAGGUUUGACUCUAUAAACAAUGGAAGGUUUGACUCUAUAAACAAUGGAAGGUUUGACUCUAUAAACAAUGAAAGGUUUGACUCUAUAAACAAUGGAAGGUUUGACUAUAUAAACAAUGGAAGGUUUGACUCUAUAAACAAUGGAAGGUUUGACUCUAUAAACAAUGGAAGGUUUGACUCUAUAAACAAUGGAAGGUUUGACUCUAUAAACAAUGGAAGGUUUGACUUUAUAAACAAUGGAAUGUUUGAUUCUAUAAACAAUGGAAGGUUUGACUCUAUAAACAACGGAAGGUUUGACUCUAUAAACAAUGGAAGGUUUGACUCUAUAAACAAUGGAAGGUUUGGCUCUAUAAACAAUGGAAUGUUUGACUCUAUAAACAAUGGAAGGUUUGACUCUAUAAACAAUGGAAUGUUUGACUGGAGUCAUUGAUAAGAGAUCCAGGGCUCUUUGUAACAAAUUUGAUUUUUAUCAUAUAUAACCAGUUACUGAUAAUAAAUCACUGUUAGUGUAUACAUUGCUUCUCACAAUGUAGAAUGACAACCAUGGUAUCUAAUUAAUCUUAUCAACACCAAAACUUUAAAAUUGAUAAUAACAGUGCCCUAUAAUGAUCGCUUUUAAAACAAAACAUUUCAAAUAAAAUGUAGGAGCAAGCUCAUUAGAAUUUCUCUGGAAAACAAUCUUGUUCAUUUCAAAGGAAAGGUUCAACUUGAUUUUUCCAAAUUGAUAAAACCUAAAAUCAUUUUUAGUAUAUUUCUGAGAUGCCAAUCUUUGAUUUUAUAUAUAUGUAUGUACUAUGUAUAUAUAAACUGAUAUUUAGCAGCUUUCUGCUUUUCUGAGAUUGUGACUUAAUUACUGUGUGGUGUGGUGCAGGUUGUACUAAAUAGAUAGGUAUUGUUUGUGUCAGAUUAAUUUUAAAUUUCAAACAGUUACAGUUUACAACAGAUCUGGUAUACUUCACAGAAAAACAUAUGUGUGGGUUUUGCUAAUUUUUUGCAUCAAUACUUUGUCUUUCUGCUGUAUUUUCAUUAUUCAUCGUUUGAUUAUCGGGUGAGGUAAAAUAAUACUCAUGUACAUGUACACAAGAUUUCAUUGUCAUUUUGAAAAUGACAGAAUAUUUCAUGAGAUUUUCCCACUAGCUUAUUUUUAACUUCAAUUCCUUUUUUUCAAAUAACAGUAGAUGAAAUAAUAUUUUUAUACAUCAGUGUUUAAGAGAUUUUUGGUUUUGAAUGAAUUGCAAAAUAAUUCCUGUUUGUUUGUGAUAAUAGUUGGACAAUCCUGUUGUGUAUAUUUUACCUACAAUAAUUUACGUUCAUUGUGUCAUAAUACCAAGUGCAUUUAUGUGCCUGCCAUAAAAUGGUGAGGUGGCCGGGCGAAUAUUCAUACCCAUCUAUUCAUCAUACUCAGUGCUUCGGGUACCUCUUGAUUUUAUUUUUACAAAUUAUUUUUCAUGGCAUUAACAGAAAUAUAGGUAUACAGUGUGACAACAGAGGGACUGCGCUAGUCAGUGGCGAUGAUGAAGCUGUCCGAAAACAAUUUGUAUAUUGUCUUUGUAGUGCUAUUAAUUGAUUCUGUGCUGGGUAAUGGAGAAAUAUCAUGUAAAACAGUAUUAAAGAUAACAUUUGAUUUACUGUAGACUUUCAUGUGUACAUAUUUAGUUUAGAAACAAUUAGCAAACAGUUUGGUGGUUUGGAAGAGGAUAGCUGCAUUGUUUUUUUCCCAAAAUGUUUCUCGAAAAUUAUUGUGUAAGUAUACAGAUUAAAAAAAUCUGUACUGUCAGAAGCGAAUUCUGAUAUAUUGAUGUUUAUGAAAUCCUGUUUUAAUGGUAUACAUGAAAGAUGUAGAAUGCUUUUUUUAUUGUUUUAUUUACACCCUAAAGUGCAGAUGCAUUCUGGGAAGAAUUACAGAUGCAUAUUAUUCAAGUCAUAAACAUAUGUAAAAUCUGACGAGUUUUUUGUCACUACAUGAAAUGUACCAAAGAUAUUUGUAUGCUUCAUGGAUCACAGAUAAGUGUUAAUAAAAAAUAUUUUGCAUAAUUGGAAUUAGAUCUUCAUAUGUCCCGGUUUUAUUUGAGCGCUAUUGGGUGAGCUGGAACUAUUGAUGUCAUACAUGAUAGCAUUUUGAUUUUAUCUGUCAAAUAAAACAUGAGAAUUUUG
Molecule: long non-coding RNA, 2518 nt
Organism: Pecten maximus
Lineage: Eukaryota; Metazoa; Mollusca; Bivalvia; Pectinida; Pectinidae
Exons: 2
Source: RefSeq, a predicted model, not a curated record